RNAcentral lists this transfer RNA (84 nucleotides) under Candidatus Nutricula glyptotermitis. RNAcentral describes it as "tRNA-Leu". It matches the Rfam family "tRNA". Rfam says of the family: Transfer RNA (tRNA) molecules are approximately 80 nucleotides in length. Their secondary structure includes four short double-helical elements and three loops (D, anti-codon, and T loops). The record is from RNAcentral. Lineage: Bacteria; Bacillati; Actinomycetota; Actinomycetes; Bifidobacteriales; Bifidobacteriaceae.
GCGCAUGUGGUGAAAUGGUAGACACGCUAGGUUUAGGUCCUAGUGCUGGUUAACAGCGUGGGGGUUCAAGUCCCUUCAUGCGCA